This 420-nucleotide ribosomal RNA is filed under the name Platynereis sp. NTNU-VM75155. RNAcentral's name for it is "partial 28S ribosomal RNA". RNAcentral also lists the same sequence under 2 other names. The record is from RNAcentral. Lineage: Eukaryota; Metazoa; Annelida; Polychaeta; Phyllodocida; Nereididae.
CGGACGGGACCGCAGAGUCUGCCCCCGGUAUUCAGCUCGUCCCCUCCGUCGGCCGCGUCCGUCGCCAAACGACACCCUCUGAGCGGGUGCCAUGGCGGGCGUGAGCGCGGCGGGGGACGCGUGCACUUUCCGGGGUGCGGUGCGUCACGACCGGUUCGGCGGAGGUCAGAAGGCCGGCGGGAUGGUGGCCAGUCGUUCGCGUCUGGUGGUAUAGCCCGCCUGCGUCGCAGGCCCUCUGCUGGACCGAGGAGGAUCCGCGUCUGCCUUAGGGCGCGGGGCCCGGGGCCUCCCGUGCUGCCUCCGUGCCGGGACUGCUCUCGCAGUGCCGUGCGCGGUUCGGCGGUCGGGACGGACUCCGCUCCCCCCGUAACGGCGUCUAGGGUCGGUGGCGAUAUUGUCGGCAACCCGUCCGACCCGUCU